AGGACGAACGCUGGCGGCGUGCUUAACACAUGCAAGUCGAGCGGAAAGGCCCUUCGGGGUACUCGAGCGGCGAACGGGUGAGUAACACGUGAGGAACCUGCCCUGGACUUUGGGAUAACCCUCGGAAACGGGGCUAAUACCGAAUACGACUGCUGAUCGCAUGGUUGGUGGUGGAAAGUUUUUCGGUCUGGGAUGGUCUCGCGGCCUAUCAGCUUGUUGGUGGGGUAAUGGCCUACCAAGGCGACGACGGGUA
Molecule: ribosomal RNA, 253 nt
Filed under: uncultured bacterium
Lineage: Bacteria
Description: partial small subunit ribosomal RNA
Rfam family: Bacterial small subunit ribosomal RNA
Source: RNAcentral